Molecule: long non-coding RNA, 1331 nt
Organism: Tachysurus fulvidraco (yellow catfish)
Lineage: Eukaryota; Metazoa; Chordata; Actinopteri; Siluriformes; Bagridae
Exons: 3
Source: RefSeq, a predicted model, not a curated record
AGACAGGGGAGCUGAGAGACAUCCGUUUUGAGAAAUUCAGACAUAUAUUAUAUCAGUCCAGACUGGGAUCAGUGAACAUAUGGUCAUUUUACUCUGACUGGCAGUCAACAUGUUGCAGAUCCUCGGCCCAGGAAGUUCUCAGGUUGUAUCUGCUCGGCUGUCCUGCUUUGUGUGUUUAAUGUCACAUCAAUCACGUCUACAAUCCCACAUAUUCAGUGGCUCUUUGCUAAUGAGACAGUGUUCGAGAGGGUUGGGUCGCGCUUUUAUGAGGGUGUGGGAUAUGAAGGACGUGUGGACGUUCCUGAGGGUGAGCUGAGGAAAGGAAACUGUUCUCUGGUGUUGAUGAAUGUCAGUAUUGAUGAUGCAGGAACCUAAAGCAGCUACCUGUUAGUGAGCCGUAAGGCAGUCCGCUCUCCUGACUGGGCUUUGAUCCGACAUUGUGAACUCUCAGUUAAAGAUGAUGCCGGAAGAAACUCUCCUGUCCUGCUGACGAUGUUCCUGUCCCUCCUCUAGUUGUUACAUGUAACGUGUAACACACAUUACAACCAGGAAGUGUCGUGUAUCAUGAAGUAUUAGGAUGUGAAACUAAGCUUACAGUCACACAACAUUUAAAAUCAUUUAUAUUAGUAACAACAGCCACAUUUUAAACACGACUGCUCAUGCUUUACAUUUCACCUUGUGUUAAUAUCAGUCUGUUUAAAUUUUUUCAAACUUGAUAUAAACUCUAGGCUGAUACAUUUACAUCAUUUAGCUGAAGCCCUUAUCCAGAGCGGCUUACAUUUUAUCUUGCUUUUAUACAUCUGAGCAAUUGAGGGUUAAGGCCUUGCUCAGGGGCCCAGCAGUGGCAGCUUGGUGGACGAAGGAAUCAAACUCACAAACUUCCGAUUGGUAGCCCAACACCUUAACCUCUAGGCUACCACAUCCCUGUGUUUAUUCCAGCAGUUCACUAAUGAUCUGAUCCAACAAGCCCCAGCUGGAUAAGAAACUGUACAGUGUGUAUUAAAUGUAAUGAAAUGAGUCAGUUCCUGUUCUCACUUAAGUGGCUGUAAAAGGUAUUUAGUUUUAGUUUCAUUGUGUGUAAGAGUUCGGAAGAAGUAAUGGUUGAGUCAGGAAGUGUUGGAAAAUGUGGGGGAAAAUAUGUUUGUAGAAUGAGUUUAUAGGAGCUCAAGCCAAAAAGGACACACUUACUACUGAAAACAUGAUUAAUAAACAAAAAUAAAUAAAGUUAUUAUAUCUGAAUACAUAACAUAUGUAAAAUGAUGGCAUGACGUUAAGGAAAUUAUUCAUAAGAGAAAUGAUUGAAAACUCGUAAUAAAUUGAAUGAAAACUGA